Molecule: RNA transcript, 6063 nt
Organism: Homo sapiens (human)
Lineage: Eukaryota; Metazoa; Chordata; Mammalia; Primates; Hominidae
Gene: GDA
Gene name: guanine deaminase
Exons: 20
Source: RefSeq, marked reviewed
AGGACAAGGCCGGAGCCUGUGUCCGCCCGGCAGCCGCCCGCAGCUGCAGAGAGUCCCGCUGCGUCUCCGCCGCGUGCGCCCUCCUCGACCAGCAGACCCGCGCUGCGCUCCGCCGCUGACAUGUGUGCCGCUCAGAUGCCGCCCCUGGCGCACAUCUUCCGAGGGACGUUCGUCCACUCCACCUGGACCUGCCCCAUGGAGGUGCUGCGGGAUCACCUCCUCGGCGUGAGCGACAGCGGCAAAAUAGUGUUUUUAGAAGAAGCAUCUCAACAGGAAAAACUGGCCAAAGAAUGGUGCUUCAAGCCGUGUGAAAUAAGAGAACUGAGCCACCAUGAGUUCUUCAUGCCUGGGCUGGUUGAUACACACAUCCAUGCCUCUCAGUAUUCCUUUGCUGGAAGUAGCAUAGACCUGCCACUCUUGGAGUGGCUGACCAAGUACACAUUUCCUGCAGAACACAGAUUCCAGAACAUCGACUUUGCAGAAGAAGUAUAUACCAGAGUUGUCACACUUGAGCUUCUGAUGUCUGUACUAGUCAAGAAAACCCUGUUUUUUCACAAAGGAGGAAACAUGGAAUGUAAGCAACCUUCUCAAGGUCACGUAGCUAAUAACAGGCAAAACAGGAGAACACUAAAGAAUGGAACAACCACAGCUUGUUACUUUGCAACAAUUCACACUGACUCAUCUCUGCUCCUUGCCGACAUUACAGAUAAAUUUGGACAGCGGGCAUUUGUGGGCAAAGUUUGCAUGGAUUUGAAUGACACUUUUCCAGAAUACAAGGAGACCACUGAGGAAUCGAUCAAGGAAACUGAGAGAUUUGUGUCAGAAAUGCUCCAAAAGAACUAUUCUAGAGUGAAGCCCAUAGUGACACCACGUUUUUCCCUCUCCUGCUCUGAGACUUUGAUGGGUGAACUGGGCAACAUUGCUAAAACCCGUGAUUUGCACAUUCAGAGCCAUAUAAGUGAAAAUCGUGAUGAAGUUGAAGCUGUGAAAAACUUAUACCCCAGUUAUAAAAACUACACAUCUGUGUAUGAUAAAAACAAUCUUUUGACAAAUAAGACAGUGAUGGCACACGGCUGCUACCUCUCUGCAGAAGAACUGAACGUAUUCCAUGAACGAGGAGCAUCCAUCGCACACUGUCCCAAUUCUAAUUUAUCGCUCAGCAGUGGAUUUCUAAAUGUGCUAGAAGUCCUGAAACAUGAAGUCAAGAUAGGGCUGGGUACAGACGUGGCUGGUGGCUAUUCAUAUUCCAUGCUUGAUGCAAUCAGAAGAGCAGUGAUGGUUUCCAAUAUCCUUUUAAUUAAUAAGGUAAAUGAGAAAAGCCUCACCCUCAAAGAAGUCUUCAGACUAGCUACUCUUGGAGGAAGCCAAGCCCUGGGGCUGGAUGGUGAGAUUGGAAACUUUGAAGUGGGCAAGGAAUUUGAUGCCAUCCUGAUCAACCCCAAAGCAUCCGACUCUCCCAUUGACCUGUUUUAUGGGGACUUUUUUGGUGAUAUUUCUGAGGCUGUUAUCCAGAAGUUCCUCUAUCUAGGAGAUGAUCGAAAUAUUGAAGAGGUUUAUGUGGGCGGAAAGCAGGUGGUUCCGUUUUCCAGCUCAGUGAAAGAAACAAUUCACUUACCAGCCUCCUCACCCCAUCCUCCACCAUUUCCUUAAUGUUCCAUGGUAUUUUCAACGGAAUACACUUUGAAAGUUCUCAGAAUAACUGUAGAAUGUGCUGGAAAUGGAACAUUCUCAGAUAAGGAGGAACUGGCCAGAUCAAACUAAGCUGUGUUCCCAUCCCUCCUGAAACAGGAUCUUAUGGUGCUUUAGCCCAGGACGUCAAGUAUCCCCUAGAUUUCUAAAUUUGGUGCCCUGGAACACUUGAGAGACUUCAAAUGGCCUUGGUGAUUUUUGUUUUUGUUUUUCUUCCACAAAAGUUGGUUUCAUCCACACCUGAGUUAAGGAACAAGUGAAGGAUGGCUUUGUGUUUGUAAAGCGCUUUGAAAACCUUGACUGAAGCACAGCAACAGAUAAAGGCAAGAAAGGCUUAAUUUAUCAAAGUAUUGCAGAACAGAUGAGCCCUCAAAUUGGAGCUUUGCCCAGGAAGGUUAUCCGGGAAAGAAUUCAGUGUUAGACAGCAUCUUUUGUUGAAUAGUACUGCUCCCUACAGAGCAGGGCUAACUCAUAGGCAGUGCAGCUAAAGUUGACAACAUAUGAGUUCUUGGCAGCUGUAUUUAUACUCACUUAAACCUGCUUUCAAUUACAUGCAAAUUAACGGGUGGGUGGAUGCAAAUUGAGGGGCAGUUUGUUUAGAAUUUUCUAGCAAAGGGGUAGUAACUUCCAGGUCAUCCUCAUAGCUUUUGUAAAUUGUCAUGGUGCUGGUGGGAGUGUCUUAUGCUAAUGAGCAAUGAGGGCAUCUAUGGAUUGCUUUGGUAGCCAUCUGCUGGUUCCUACCAGUUUCUUCACUUUAUCCUGUUUAGACCAGAUCCUGUUUUGGUCAGCAAGGUUGUGACCAGAAAACAAGGUUUAGACCAGAUCCUGUUUUGGUCAGCAAGGUUGUGCCUGUCUCCUACCUCAAAAGGUUACUCAAAAAGAUAAAUUAAGGGGCUCAGAAAUACAAGUGCACACACUUCUUUCAAUUCAUGAACUUUCUUAGUGGAACUAUGAAAGAUGAAUUGGCAACUUACGUAUUUUGGACUAAUUUAUAUAACCACAACAAACCCUCCAGCAUCAUAAACGUGUCCUGGCAUAAUGCAAUGGCAUGCUAUCCAUCCCGUAAAAUCUCAUGGUAGUGACUCAGAAACGUGGGGGUAAAAGAGAAGCUAUGGAGUUUAGGUUGUUUGUUUAUUUAUUAAAGCUGGGUAAUAGGCUUUUUAUGUCAUCCAGGACAAUUUUGCAAUCUCUUAUGGAUGUAUUAUUUAUUGUAACUUAUGGGGGAAACUCAUGAUGAGACUCACAUUCCCUAGAAAAUUUUCACAUUCCCUAGAAAAUUAUUGCCCAGACUAAAUAAGAAGUCAGUAUAAAUGCAUAUAAAAACUCAUUUAAUGUUGUUUGUAGUACUGUAGACCAUUUAACAUGGCAUAAUUUAAUCCAAAAGAAAUUAUAAUUAAUCAGUCAGUUUGCUCUGAAAUAUACUUGGCUGUUCUCUUAUGCUUUUUAUGUCUUUGUAAAUUUCAUACUUAAAAAAGGUUAAUUAGUUGGUUUUUUGAAAGAUUUAAAAAUGGUUAAUUAGUUGGUUUUUUGAAAGAUAGAAAUCUGUACCUGCAGAAAACAAAAUAAUGGCCUAUUAAGUCAUAUUUAAUUUACUAAUCAUGAAGUUGUAAAUUUUAAUCAACAUUCAUUUAAGCAACAUUUCAUAAUAAAUACCAGGUAUGGGUCAGUUCUGAGGAUUAAAAAUAACAUUCAUCUCUUUGAAGAACUCACAGUCUGGGAUGGGAGGUGAGAGGAAACACAUAGACAAUAUGUUAUGUUUAUGACAGAUGUAUAGAGAGCUAAGGGUGUUUAAGGGGGAAACUGGUUCUGUUGGGUACAUAGUCCGCAGAGAAUACAUAGGGCUAAGUGUGGUGGUGAAUCUUUCACAGAAGUGACAUCUAAGCCUGGAAGAAGAGUAGGAAUUUAUUUUCCAUGUGAAAACUCAAAAAGGUAUUUCGAGUAGAGCGUUCAGCAUGAGCAAUAGCAGCUCAUCAUAAAGACUUGACUUCUGGAAAAGUAAGAUAAGAAUGAAGUGGAUGAAUCCAGUCUUCGUAAGAAUCACCAUGGGUGUUGGUUCAAAAUGAAGGUUUCCAGGCCCUUGUCCCUAUACAUUCUGAUUCAGUAGGUUUGUCCUGGGGCCCAAGAAUUUGCAUUACCAACAAAUACCUUGGUAUGGUCAGGCAGUGGGUGUAGUGAGGAGAGUCAUCCUGGGUAUGACAAGGACCAGGUAUAAUCAGGUGUGUAAGCUAAUGAAGAGAAGGCACCAGGCUCACUGAGUGCAGAAACUGUGGGUCUCACGUACAUUGGUGGUUUUCCUAUUCACUGGCAGAUAACUGUUGUUGUUUCCCAGGCUGAUCUUGAUAUCCUGGUCUCAAGUGAUCCUCCCACCUCAGCAUUCUAAAGUGCUAGGAUUACAGACAUGAGCUACUGCACCCAGCCAAUUGGAGGCCUUGCCCCAGCAGGUGGGGAAGGAAAUGCCAGCCAAGUUCCCACCACAUGCAGAAACCUGAGAGGGUGAACCCUACCCAUCAACACCUGGAGACCUUUUCCUGACUCUGGGACCCGCGACAGACAGAGUAGCCCCUGCAUGGGUGACUCCCUGAUUCCCACGAGGCCCCAGGGCUGCCGUGGCUCCUGCUGCUCCACAUAUUGUGGGGCACCUUGAUAGCCGAGGUUGCCUUAAGUUACCUCCAGCUUUGUUUCUGUCACUGCAAAUCAAAGAGCCCAGCCUAAAAUCCUCUGUAGCCUUCUUAUUUCCCCCACGGCAUGUGGCCACUCUCUACCCUCUCGCAAGCCUUGCCAGAGAUGCCAUCCUCCACUUCCACUGGGCACCUGGAGCCUGAACCUGGAAUCUUCCAAGACCCCAGAUCAGCCUCUGCUGACAGUUCUCUUGUAAAGAUACUGAGGAUAGGAUUACAGAGGCAGUCACACUUCUGAAGAUGACUUCGUGGACUGGAGACCAAUUGCAGGGCACCCUUGGGAGCCAUGAGCUGGACGGGACAGGGCAACAUGAUAUAAAGAGUCUGGGCCACUUAAGUUACCACUGGGGGAGAGUCUUCCCCUGAUUCAGGAAUACAUGGAUUGGAAUGGGGCAGCUGGCCCCAAAGAAAAUCUGUGAAAUGUUAAGACAUUGCUAAUUCAGUUAUUGAAAUCCAGGGCUGUUAGUUUAUGCCCUUGUUGAGGUCUUUCAGGGCUCUGUCCCUGCCCACCUGGACUGACCAAACACAAACGGGUGGAGGACCUUUCAGUGGACAGAGGUCCUGUGACCUUUGUAGGUGGGAUCAAACUUUCCCUGCUGCCAAAGGAAGCUUGGACUCGGAAGAAAGAGCCUCACCCAUGGGUGUGGACACAGGUCUUCUGCUGCAGUGUGCCCCACCAUUACUACCUGACAUGCUUGUGGGCACAGAAUGGGUAAUGACAUGGCACUGCUUUAGCUUCUAGGCUUCUUGCAGGGCCAGCCAGGGAUUGGGAUGGUCAGAGCUCAUGAAUGAUCUCCUCUGGCUGCAAUCAGCAUUUUCCACUGGCUCAAAUGUACUGUACAAAUAAUAACUCUUUUUUUUUUUUUUUUGAGACAGAGUCUCACUCUGUCACCCAGGCUGGAGUGCAGUGGUACGAUCUCGGCUCACUGCAACCUCUGCCUCCCAGGUUUAAGCGAUUCUUCUGCCUCAGCCUCCCAAGUAGCUGGGACUACAGGCGUGCACCAUCACGCCUGGCUAUUUUUUGUAUUUUUAGUAGAGAUGGGGUUUCACCAUAUUGGCCAGGCUGGUCUUGAAUUCCUGACCUUGUGAUCCUCCCACCUCGGCCUCCCAAAGUGCUGGGAUUACAGGCGUGAGCCACCGUGCCUGGCCACUUUCUAUUUUUGCAGUGAGCAAAUCAAAAUCAGAGAGCGCUGUCUUUCUACGAUGUGGCUCCCAACCCACUGAUGGCCUGUCCUGGAUGCCAGGCACUUGUUUGGGUUGGAAGCGGACUGCUCCACAGCUGCAGGCUUUUUUGUGGUUAGUUGUGGCCCACAGGAUACUGGCAGCUGGAGGCAGAGCAGUGGUGCCUUUUGAAGCCAUGGAAGACCUGCUGAUUGCCAGCAAAAUGUCUUCCCAGCCAGUUGUUCCUGGAGCCGCUGUGCAGGGCUCUGGAGAUGGUGUGUGAAUGCUUGAGACACGGCCUAAGUCUCUUUGAAUCUCUCUGGGAGAUUCUGAUAUAUGCUGCCCCAAUUAUUAUAGCAAAGAGCCAACAUACUUGGAGGAGAAAAAAAAAGCUAGUCAAAAGAUUUUCUGCUCAGGUUGAAGAAUAUCUUAAAGUCAGUGUAAUCGAUUAGACUGAUUAUACUAGUUGAUCAAGCAGCCACUCCUCUGAAGUUACAAAGAGAAUUUGGCAGGACUUAAUAAAUAUUUGAACAGG